This 385-nucleotide ribosomal RNA is filed under the name uncultured bacterium. RNAcentral describes it as "bacterial SSU rRNA". It matches the Rfam family "Bacterial small subunit ribosomal RNA", at positions 30 to 412 of the family's 1533-position model. The record is from RNAcentral.
AUUGAACGCUGGCGGCAUGCCUUACACAUGCAAGUCGAACGGCAGCACGGGAGCAAUCCUGGUGGCGAGUGGCGAACGGGUGAGUAAUAUAUCGGAACGUGCCCAGUCGUGGGGAUAACGUAGCGAAAGCUACGCUAAUACCGCAUACGAUCUAUGGAUGAAAGCGGGGAAUCGCAAGACCUCGCGCGAUUGGAGCGGCCGAUAUCGGAUUAGGUAGUUGGUGAGGUAAAGGCUCACCAAGCCGACGAUCUGUAGCUGGUCUGAGAGGACGACCAGCCACACUGGGACUGAGACACGGCCCAGACCUCCUACGGGAGGCAGCAGUGGGGAAUUUUUGGAACAAGUGGGCGCAAGCCUGAUCCAGCAAUGCCGCGUGCAGGAUGAA